GUGCGCAUGUUCAAUCUCGCUGGCUUUUCCAUUCCACUCUUCUUUCCCCUUCUCUCUCUGUCUCCACCGCCUUGAAGAGCAGAGGAGGGUACUGUAGCGAGAGAAACCAAGGACCAGAGAGACUAGAGAGGGAAGAGAAGAGAGAAGGAAAGAGGACUGGCAACUUUCACUUUCGGAGGAAACUAAUUCCCUGAAAAUGCCACCACCGACACAACAGAGCACUGGCCUGAACGGUGACCACAGACCAUCACGCCCACCGCAGCGUUCAGACACCCACCACCACCACCACCAUCCGUACUACCCAACAUCGUCGUCUUCCAACUCAGCCUCCUUGAAAGGCUGCUGUUGCUGUCUCUUCCUCCUCUUCUCCUUCCUCGCUCUCCUUGUCCUCGCUAUCUUCCUUAUCAUUAUUCUCGCCGUCAAGCCUAAAAAACCUCAGUUCGAUCUCCAACAAGUCGGCGUCCAGUACAUGGGCAUCUCGGCUUCCAAUCCCAGUUCGCUUGACCCGACCACCGGCACAACCACCAUCGCUACUGGCCCCACCACAGCUUCACUGUCUUUAACCAUCCACAUGCUAUUCACCGCCGUUAAUCCCAACAAGGUUGGGAUCAAGUACGGGGAGUCCAAAUUCACUGUCAUGUACCAUGGGAUUCCUUUGGGCAAAGCUUCGGUUCCUGGGUUUUUUCAGGAGGCCCAUAGCGAGCGUCAGGUGGAAGCCACCAUUUCUGUCGAUCGCUAUAGCUUGAUCCAGGCCAAUGCUGCUGAUUUGAUAAAGGAUGCUUCGUUGAAUGAUAGAGUGGAGCUUCGGGAUCUGGGUGAAGUUGGUGCUAAGAUCCGUGUCCUAGACUUCGACUCCCCUGGAGUACAGGUCAGCCAUUUUUACCCAUUUUCCUUUUCUUUCUAUCUUUCUGUAUCAACUUUUGUUUUCUUGUUCAUAAUUUUUGACUUCUGAUUUCUAAUAUUGGCUUUACCUUACAUUAAAUAUCCAGCAUUGCCCAUUUCUAAUUUUGGCUUAUAAUUUCUUUCACCCAAGCUAAUUUUUGCUCUAGUUUCUGAACUUUUGGAUGUGGGUUCUUUCUAGGCUUAGGAUUUCUAGUUCCUAACUAAUUUGUGGUUUCUGGAUCUUUUCUAGGCAUAAAAUUUUUGAGCAUUACCUUAUUGGGUUUAAUCUUUCCUGUUCUUCAAUUUCUAUACAUCCGAAUUGUACACUACUCAGUAUUUAUGUUUCUGACUUUAGCUUCAAUUUCUCAUUAUAUUUGCUUCUCCAUUCAUAUUUUUGUAUGAAUAAAGUUUUGGCUAAGCUUUCUCCAGAAAUGGGUUUUGGUCUUUCGUUAGUUUUUCCAGUUAGCGCAGUCGUGGAGGGGGCUGGUCGGCUCUGUACCAGCGAAAUCCACCAACGUCUGUCUCACUCUUGCUUAGGCUUUUCCUUUUGCCUCAUCAAUUACUGUGGAAGAGCAUGUGUUUUCCUGGGUACUUUCUUUCUUGAAAGGGAUAUUCUUGCUCAUCUACCCUCUUGUUUUGGCCUAUUUAUAUAUCUGACCCCGAUGAGCAUCUUUUCUUUGCUAUUAGUGCCCUUUGCUUUUUGGUGCACCUGCGCUGGUGACCCUCAUGGGGUGUCUUUUUCGGUCCCUUUUCUUUCAAGAAAUUAGUGAUUCUUGGAUUUCUUUAUGCCUUAAUCCUGUCUUUUCAGUUCUUUAAAAAGCACCAAAAAAGGUUGCUUAGAGCAGUUCUUUAACUUUAAUUUUAUCGUUGAUGGCCGCUAAUUGGUAAUUACCAGCAUAAUUUCUUUCUUUUCAAGAGCUUUCUUAAAACGCACCAAUGGUGUCUGGACUAUGCGGAAUGAGAUUUCUAAGCAAUAGUUUUUUACCAUGACUAGCUCGUGGUUUUCAUUCUCUUAGAAACCUAUCCUAACUACCCACGUGCCAUUUAUUCCCCUUGGCUAAUUUGUCUAAUAGCAUGUAUUUUGACUUGGGUAAGGUAGUUCUUGAUUCUUGCGAGCUAUUUUAGCAAGAAAUAUAAACCCCAAGAUGCUAGCCACUGGUGCAUGUGAAUGGUGGAUUCAUGUGUGUCUCAUCAUAUCAUGCAUAUUGAUAUUUCCCUUUACAUUAUUAGACAGGAACCAAGUUCCCUCCCUCUCAAAUGAAUUGUAAAUCUCAUGAGAAGGACUGGCUUGUGGGAGAGGAGAGCGCAGCAUGGUCCCACCCAGUAUUUUGAGCAAUUAUUGUUAGUAGUUCCCAGUACACUUCACGCACCAUGUGAGGGACCAUUGGAAACCGUGGAAGGUGGGAUUUCAUGGUCUACCAUUUCUUUGUCCAAUAACCAGAAGGUUUUGGGAUUCACAGUUUAUGGUAACAAUGCAAAAUAACACAUGAGCAUGGAUUGGUUUGUUUUGUGGUAAAAAAUGUCAAAACUUCAUUCCUCAUUUUUUAGCCUUAGGGAAGAAAAGGUCUUGUUCCGUUUCUUAGCAUGUGAAUUGGUGAUUUUUGGGGCCCUUGUGGCCCCUAGGAAAGAGAUGUGAUGGGAUCCAAAGUUUGGCUGGGCUGGAAGGUGCAAGUUAAAAUUUUUCUCUGAUCUUUUGUGGGGUUCUUGUAGUAGGCAAUUGGGCAUCAUCCAUUAAUUGCUUGGAUCUUACUAAAGCCUGCAUGUGCCUUCUACAUUAAUGUUUCAGAUAAUGUCUUUUUUGGUACACCAUGAAGAAUUAAUGUUUCAGAUGUACAGAAGAUGGAGAUCUAUUAGCUCCUAAGAAAGUGUGUUUGGGGACAGUUUAGUUAUGAAAAUUGAGAAAUCUACCUUGCAGCCACUAGCUCAAGGUGAAUUGAUCUUUCAACUUGUUGCUUGCUUCAAAUUGCAGGGAUCUGGAAAUGGGCAUUUUGUAUAGCUACAGGACUAGGCUGAGAGGCACUGCUCAUGCCAAUCAUUUCUCAGUAAUAUGAUUGCCCACAGUAAUAAACAGUAACAAAAAAUAAUGUCUCUGUAGUGUGGCAUGUCAGAUUGGAAUUCAUAUUUUUCAACAUCAUUAUGGAGGCUAUAUUAGUGCGUGGCUACCACUCGCUUGAAAGGUUGCCUGUUGCCAACUUGCUUUUUUGACAAAAUAAACAAAGAGAGCAGAUAGGUACAGUGACACUAUGUCAUAGUGUUGUACUGAGUUAGUUCUUAAUUAUUUUUUUUAUAUUUUAUUAUUCACUUCUAAUAUUUUAUUCAUUCACUUCAUGCAAAUAUAUUAUUAUUUUUUAUAUAUUUUUUGCAUUUAUUUGUGUUUUUAUAAACAAAAGAAGAACCCAACAUGUUGCUGCAUUAGCAGUAGUGUCUGUAAUAUAAUAAACUAUAGUAAAAUAGAAAUUUAAAUAUUUGACAAUUCUUAUAUUUUCUAAGAGUUUUAGAAAUACGAAAGAAAAAGAAGGAAAUGGAAAAUUUAUUCCCAUUUCCCACUAAUGUUGCUGGCAUGAAUAAUUUUUCUUUGACAUUUUCUUUCCCUUCAAAAACAUCUAAUUUGGGUCUGGAUGAACAGGUAUCAGUGAACUGUGCAAUAAUGAUAAGUCCAAGGAAGCAGGCUCUUACUUACAAGCAGUGUGGAUUUGAUGGACUAAGCGUUUGAGUAAGCCGUACCUGGGCAAAAACAAUGGGCACAUAUGAAAAAUAUGAAAGGAAGAAUUUCCCCCCACACCAUCCCCCCCCCCCUCUCCGGCCUUUUUCUCUCCUCUCUUGUUUAAUUUUUUUCCCCUCUCCUUAGAUAAGAGAGAAUGUGUAGAAAGCAAAGAGAAGGUUAGAAAGUAGAAAGCAUGUUAAGACUGGAGACCCAUAUCCUCUCGUGGAUAAAUGGAAUUGGAUGGAAGGUAAGCAAAUAAGUGGUAAAAGAGAAAUGGGGAUAUUCUAAUUGGGAAAUCAAAAUGUUUUUCCCAAGAUUUUGCAGAUUUUUAUAUUGGUUUACUCCAUGAAAGCUUAAAAAAAAAAAAAAAAAAAAAA
Molecule: unclassified non-coding RNA, 3963 nt
Filed under: Hevea brasiliensis (rubber tree)
Lineage: Eukaryota; Viridiplantae; Streptophyta; Magnoliopsida; Malpighiales; Euphorbiaceae
Source: RNAcentral